Long non-coding RNA from Oncorhynchus tshawytscha (Chinook salmon), 3670 nucleotides. RefSeq lists it as uncharacterized. The record is from RefSeq and is a predicted model, not a curated record. NCBI's taxonomy places the organism in Eukaryota, Metazoa, Chordata, Actinopteri, Salmoniformes, Salmonidae. The transcript is spliced from 4 exons.
CAAGGUUUUUCGACAGUGACAUUCCGAGGGGUUCGUGCUGAUUGUGCGGAGAUUGUGACAGCUGGUUAAACUGCAUCCCUUGACAAGGCAAGAACAAGAUGUAUGUCAGGAGAAGUGCAGUAUUAUCAUAAGGAGACGUAUACUUGGAAUAUGGUGGACGAAUGGAGGGAAAAAGAGAGGCAGAGGACGUCUAAAAGAGAGAGAGGAAGAGGGAUGUUGAACUUUUUUUAUGUGCUUAAGUUGAGUCUCCUUCAGUUUCCCAGUAAGUGACCAUUUCUUCACAUUUAACAUUUAAAACCACGAGGCAGUAAGCUGCUGAUAUCAUCAUAUAAACAAAUUUGGUGCUCUUUACCAUAAUUCAAAUUGCGUUUUGUCUCUUAUAAGUUGAUGUCUAAGAGCAAAAAAACAUCAUCCAGUUGGCCAUUUGCUCAGAUAUCCCCUGUCAAGACCCUUGGAUCAGAGGGACAAGAACUAUGACUUCUUCACUUCCACCUUUCACUUUGAGGACCCUCUAUUUCCUCCUCACCGCACCCCCAAACCUGUCCCUCCUCCACUGCUCCGACCCACACCACCACCCCCAGACGAGGACCCAUACAGGCCCAUUAAGCCCCCUAAUACCUCUGGUCCCUCCUUUCAAAGGCGCUGUCCAACCUAUUACAGGUAUUGUAUAUAUAUCCUCCCUGUUUUCUUAGUGGAAACUGUGAUCGCUUAUGUGGCCCUCUGCCCUUCCCCCCACCAGCCCUAGCCCUGUGCACCCAACUCUCAGACUCCACACGCAGGGACACAGACCAAGGUGUGCCCAUACAACGAAACAGAAUCCCUCCCGUCUAUGUUUUCACAGCCUCUGAUAAGGAGCAGCCCGGAGUAUUCAUUCUGCCCUCUGCCCCCAGUGGCCAACCAGACAGAUUGGCCCCCAUCCCGCCCUGUAACCCAUAUUUGUACUUCCUUCAGGACAGAGCACAAACACGAGGGCGGAGGCAGCAGAGGGACUUCCUGGACCCAUCUUUGUAUUCCCAUCUGAGGUGGCCACUGGGAUGGGCAACAGUGGGGUUAACAUGUUGUCUCCUCCCCUACGACCUGACUCUGUUCCUCCUCCCAUCCUCAUUUACCCUGGUGUUUUUAUUCCCAUCAUAGGAGAAAACAUCGGACAUAGAUAAUCGCCUGCUGAGAUUCAGACUUCACUGAUUCAAAGUAGUUUUCCCCAGUUCACUUCAAAGAUACCCAGCUACUUUUGUAUUGAAAGUAGCUGGAGAUUAAACUAAAGAAAUGUAUAAUGCUUUUAUAUAACAAUCUACACUGUCAAUCGUUGGGUCUUUCUAUACUUAAUGCAUAUUUCUGUUUACCAUUGGAUGUAAAACAAUUAUCUGCAAUAAAUGAAUAAAACUUGUGUUGCGAUUUUACAGCGUAUCUGUGCACAUUUUGGGAAGAAAUACUACCAUUUAAUUAAUUAAUGAAUAUUAGAGAUAAUGGCAUUUUAAUGUGCAGCAUGAUUGUAUCUUCUCUGCUUCAGGAAAAUGUGUAUUGGUCUAUUUGUUUUUCUGUGUUUACGCAAAUCAUUCCUGAGGAAUGAGGGUGUUCCUUUGGUUUGGUGGUAUGAUAUAAUUAAAAAAUCAUUCUUCCUUUAAUGACUACUGUAAAGUUUUGACAGAAUAUUUCCCUGGGUCUAAAAUUCUGUUUUAGUAGUUGUUUACUGGGCUUAUAGUUUUUUCUUCAAAUUACAUUGGUUCGUCUGUCUGUAUGUUAUUUCCGUUACUCUCUCAUUCAACACUUUGGGGGAUUUAAUGUUGAAGUUUCUAUUCUUCAAAUAUAGACAAAGUAUAUACCAGUAUUGCCAUGUAAAUGUGUCAGCAAAUGUAAUUAAUUAUCAUGGAGUGACACUUGGUUUAUCCCACGCACCAAAUCAUGCAUAUAAGCAUACCCCAUUCAUACAGUGUCUAUUGUUCAUUCAUACAUCCCAUUUGAUUCUAUAGUAUUCUUAUUAGUGCUGGAUAUACAACAGGAACUUUUAAUUUGUAUUCAUUGGGACUGUAUACCCCUUCCUUUUUAUGCUGAGGAGGAGAGGAUACUCAACCUAAUCAAGAAAUGAAGGAAAAGAAAUUGGAGAUUUUGAGGACCGCCUUCUAUAUUUUAUUUGUGGCAACAGUAGCAUCUUCAAAACCAGUCCGUCUACAUGGAUUCCAAUACAGAAGCAUGAUGGCUGACAGCCUGGAAUCGUCUGAGUCCUCGGAGUCCAGCCAGUCUUCCUCAGAGAAUGGUCAGCCAAUGGUCGCUGGCACUGAGAUCGCAAUACCAGGCACUCAGGAGGAGACAGACCCACCAGACAGUGAAGCUAUAGCCUCUGAAACAGCCUCAGAAGUUGAUGAUGCUUUAAUUGCUUCACAAACCACACUUCAAACGGAUGCCUCAUCAGCAGAUGCACUAAAUGGGACAGACACUGAGGCUACCUCACAGCAUCCAGUCAUCGUCGCAUUGACUGAUUCUCCCAGUCUGACUUCUGAUAAUGUCACAACCCAUAUACGGUCUAUGGUCACAACGGAUCUGCCAUCAAUCACUGACACAGCCACAAUUCAAACAUUCUAUGUGGGCACAACUUCUCCCCCGGGCCCAUACCACAUACCGAUUAUGGAGCAGCCAACUCCUCCACCAGUCUCCCCAAUACCAAGCCUAACUCCCCAGCAGCUUGUUCCAUUGGGAACCACUGAUGACAUAGCUGGUGUGCCAGGUUGUUUUACUGUAGUAUACAUAACGAGCCCUCAUGCUCAGCCAGUUCCUGUUAGAGGUGAUAACAUUUAAAGCAGAGAGGAAGUUAUUAUAUCAUUGAUUAAAGUCAGACAUGAAAGCUGGCUUCUUUUUUUCAUUUGUCUUUAUGAACAUAUGAGCACAAUUGCAGCCACAUAGUGAGCUGGAGGGGCGCCUGUGCUGCAACUGGCUGAAGCGCUCAUGAAAAUGAUUCACUAUAAUAUUUUGCACUAUAUAAGUGAUACAUAUGUAGAUGUACUGUACUUUAUAUUGCUCAGUGUCUUCCAUGAGUCAGUCUCACAUGUAUUUGUAUUUUAUCCCAUCUUUUAUCGUGUGAUUUAUUUUGAAAGGUGACACAGAUUGCAUUAACACUGUCAACAACAUUUUAGUCUAUUUGUAAAAGAGGACCCACCAUCUGUAAUAAAUGCUCUAUAAACAUUUAGAAAAAGGACAGAAGCCAGAAAGAGUACCUUUUCAUGUGCUGCAGGAUAUUUUGGGGCUUUUGAUUAUACUGCAAAACCUAUUACAGGCAAUUUGCAGAUAAUGCCAGCUGUUGGGCAUUCUUUGUGACUCCCAUUGUGUCCUCAGUUAUCAUUGAAUGAAUGAAUGAUGAUACAUUCCUGUUUUAAUUUUGUACUGUAAAGCUUGUCUUGUAUACAAUUGAAUGUCUGACCCAGAAAGACAGAGACCCUGGAGCAGAUGGUGUUUAACUUCUGGUAUGAAUGCAAUGCAGUGAGUGAACAAGUGGUUGUUGUUGUUUUUCCCGGUAUUACAGAGACACUGUUGUUGAGAGAUACCAAAGCUCAUGGCAUGAAGUAUGUUUGCCACCGCACAACACACAUUGAUCAUUUACUUGUGACACACAGACACAGAAACAUAUUUUUCAAGUAGCUUCACUACUUGGACCCCAAAUAAACAUUUUAAAGUUGAA